UACGUAGGGGGCAAGCGUUGUCCGGAAUCAUUGGGCGUAAAGCGCGCGUAGGCGGUCAGGAAAGUCCGGUGUGAAAGUCAUAGGCUCAACCUAUGGAUGCCGCUGGAAACUGCCUGACUUGAGUCCGGAAGGGGCGAGUGGAAUUCCUGGUGUAGCGGUGAAAUGCGCAGAUAUCAGGAGGAACACCAAUGGCGAAGGCAGCUCGCUGGAACGGUACUGACGCUGAGGCGCGAAAGCGUGGUGAGCGAACAGG
Molecule: ribosomal RNA, 253 nt
Filed under: uncultured bacterium
Lineage: Bacteria
Description: partial 16S ribosomal RNA
Rfam family: Bacterial small subunit ribosomal RNA
Source: RNAcentral